AUUCCAUGGUGUGGGCAUUCCCUUUGGUACUCCUUGAAACGAUCCCAAGCUUCGAAGAGUGACUCAUCUUGCUUUUGCUCAAAGGAUUGGAUCUUGUGGCGACACU
This is a non-coding RNA of Spinacia oleracea (spinach), 106 nucleotides long. The record is from Rfam. Lineage: Eukaryota; Viridiplantae; Streptophyta; Magnoliopsida; Caryophyllales; Amaranthaceae.